RNAcentral lists this transfer RNA (73 nucleotides) under Actinomycetes bacterium. Its description in RNAcentral is "tRNA-Asn". It matches the Rfam family "tRNA". Rfam says of the family: Transfer RNA (tRNA) molecules are approximately 80 nucleotides in length. Their secondary structure includes four short double-helical elements and three loops (D, anti-codon, and T loops). RNAcentral also lists the same sequence under 1 other name. The record is from RNAcentral. Lineage: Bacteria; Bacillati; Actinomycetota; Actinomycetes.
UCCCCGGUAGCUCAAUCGGUAGAGCAUCCGGCUGUUAACCGGAGGGUUGCUGGUUCGAGUCCAGCCCGGGGAG